This 383-nucleotide RNase P RNA is filed under the name Klebsiella quasipneumoniae subsp. similipneumoniae. Its description in RNAcentral is "RNase P RNA component class A". It matches the Rfam family "Bacterial RNase P class A". Rfam says of the family: Ribonuclease P (RNase P) is a ubiquitous endoribonuclease, found in archaea, bacteria and eukarya as well as chloroplasts and mitochondria. Its best characterised activity is the generation of mature 5'-ends of tRNAs by cleaving the 5'-leader elements of precursor-tRNAs. Cellular RNase Ps are ribonucleoproteins. Lineage: Bacteria; Pseudomonadati; Pseudomonadota; Gammaproteobacteria; Enterobacterales; Enterobacteriaceae. The record is from RNAcentral. RNAcentral also lists the same sequence under 3 other names.
GAAGCUGACCAGACAGUCGCCGCUUCGUCGUCGUCCUCCUUCGGGGGGAGACGGGCGGAGGGGAGGAAAGUCCGGGCUCCAUAGGGCAAGGUGCCAGGUAACGCCUGGGGGGUGUCACAGCCCACGACCAGUGCAACAGAGAGCAAACCGCCGAUGGCCCGCGCAAGCGGGAUCAGGUAAGGGUGAAAGGGUGCGGUAAGAGCGCACCGCGCGGCUGGUAACAGUCCGUGGCAGGGUAAACUCCACCCGGAGCAAGGCCAAAUAGGGGUUCAUAAGGUACGGCCCGUACUGAACCCGGGUAGGCUGCUUGAGCCAGUGAGCGAUUGCUGGCCUAGAUGAAUGACUGUCCACGACAGAACCCGGCUUAUCGGUCAGUUUCACUC